AGGACGAACGCUGGCGGCGUGCCUAAUACAUGCAAGUCGAACGGUCUUUCUAUGGAAGCUUGCUUCCACUGGAGAAGAUAGUGGCGAACGGGUGAGUAACGACGUGGGGUAACCUGCCCAUAAGAGGGGGAUAACAUCCGGAAACGGGUGCUAAUACCGCAUAGUUUUCUUGAUCGCAUGAUCGGGAAAGGAAAGACGGCCUUUGUGCUGUCGCUUAUGGAUGGACCCGCGGCGUAUUAGUUAGUUGGUGAGGUAACGGCUCACCAAGACGAUGAUACGUAGCCGACCUGAGAGGGUGAUCGGCCACAUUGGGACUGAGACACGGCCCAAACUCCUACGGGAGGCAGCAGUAGGGAAUCUUCCGCAAUGGACGAAAGUCUGACGGAGCAACGCCGCGUGAGUGAAAGAAGGUUUUCGGAUCGUAAAACUCUGUUGUCAGAGAAGAACAAGUUGGAGAGUAACUGCUCCAGCCUUGACGGUAUCUGACCAGAAAGCCACGGCUAACUACGUGCCAGCCGCCGC
This 522-nucleotide ribosomal RNA is filed under the name uncultured bacterium. Its description in RNAcentral is "bacterial SSU rRNA". It matches the Rfam family "Bacterial small subunit ribosomal RNA", at positions 26 to 518 of the family's 1533-position model. The record is from RNAcentral.